RNAcentral lists this ribosomal RNA (292 nucleotides) under uncultured bacterium. Its description in RNAcentral is "partial 16S ribosomal RNA". It matches the Rfam family "Bacterial small subunit ribosomal RNA", at positions 505 to 796 of the family's 1533-position model. The record is from RNAcentral.
GUGUCAGCCGCCGCGGUAAUACGAAGGUGGCAAGCGUUACUCGGAAUUACUAGGCGUAAAGGGCAGGUAGGUGGUGUGGUAAGUCUGUUGUGGAAGCUCCCGGCUUAACCGGGAGAGGUCAACGGAAACUACCACGCUUGAGUGUAGGAGAGGGUACUGGAAUUCCCGGUGUAGCGGUGAAAUGCGCAGAGAUCGGGAGGAACACCAAUGGCGAAAGCAGGUACCUGGACUAUUACUGACACUAAGCUGCGAAAGCUAGGGGAGCAAACAGGAUUAGAUACCCCGGUAGUCC